CUGAUACUCCCUCCAUUCUAAAAUUCUUGUCUUAGAUUUGCAUAAGUAUGAAUGUAUCUAGUCAUGUUUUAGUAUUUAGAUACAUUCAUUUCUAAACAAACCUAAGACAAGAAUUUUAAUUCUAUGACAGAGGGAGUAGAAU
RNAcentral lists this microRNA precursor (142 nucleotides) under Hordeum vulgare. RNAcentral describes it as "microRNA MIR1122". It matches the Rfam family "MIR1120/MIR1122 microRNA precursor family". The record is from RNAcentral. Lineage: Eukaryota; Viridiplantae; Streptophyta; Magnoliopsida; Poales; Poaceae.